This 776-nucleotide ribosomal RNA is filed under the name Bacillus sp. (in: firmicutes). Its description in RNAcentral is "bacterial SSU rRNA". It matches the Rfam family "Bacterial small subunit ribosomal RNA", at positions 149 to 909 of the family's 1533-position model. The record is from RNAcentral. Lineage: Bacteria; Bacillati; Bacillota; Bacilli; Caryophanales; Bacillaceae.
CCGGGAAACCGGAGCUAAUACCGGAUAAUCCCUUUCUCCACCUGGAGAGAGGGUGAAAGAUGGCUUCGGCUAUCACUAGGGGAUGGGCCCGCGGCGCAUUAUCUAGUUGGUAAGGUAACGGCUUACCAAGGCAACGAUGCGUACCCGACCUGAGAGGGUGAUCGGCCACACUGGGACUGAGACACGGCCCAGACUCCUACGGGAGGCAGCAGUAGGGAAUCUUCCGCAGUGGACGAAAGUCUGACGGAGCAACGCCGCGUGAGUGAGGAAGGCCUUCGGGUCGUAAAGCUCUGUUGUGAGGGAAGAAGCGGUACCGUUCGAAUAGGGCGGUACCUUGACGGUACCUCACCAGAAAGCCACGGCUAACUACGUGCCAGCAGCCGCGGUAAUACGUAGGUGGCAAGCGUUGUCCGGAAUUAUUGGGCGUAAAGCGCGCGCAGGCGGCUUCUUAAGUCUGAUGUGAAAUCUCGGGGCUCAACCCCGAGCGGCCAUUGGAAACUGGGGAGCUUGAGUGCAGAAGAGGAGAGUGGAAUUCCACGUGUAGCGGUGAAAUGCGUAGAGAUGUGGAGGAACACCAGUGGCGAAGGCGACUCUCUGGUCUGUAACUGACGCUGAGGCGCGAAAGCGUGGGGAGCAAACAGGAUUAGAUACCCUGGUAGUCCACGCCGUAAACGAUGAGUGCUAGGUGUUAGGGGUUUCGAUGCCCGUAGUGCCGAAGUUAACACAUUAAGCACUCCGCCUGGGGAGUACGGCCGCAAGGCUGAAACUCAAAGGAA